CUCCUCCUGAUCUCUCACUUCCGGGUCGUUGUAUGUGCCGCUAGCAUCCGAGCACAGAUCCGGCGUCUUCACCGCGGUCGAGCCGAUCAGUCGGGGCGGUGUUUAUUGCCGCAACCAGAGCAUUGUGCUGAAGGCCGACGGUGGUGGUGGUGGUUCUCCUGGGUGGUGGUGGUCCUGUGUGCUGUGUGAUCCCUUUUUAAGAUUUUCUUUGUUUACACGUCACCUUUUGCUGUGUGUGUGUGGGGUGUCCUCCUUUUCCUUUUGGAUGUCACUUCCCCUACCAAACCCCUCCUCCAGCCGGUAAGCCUCAGACUACAUCCCCCUUUUAGUUGGGCUCUUUUCUUUUUUUGUGUUACAGUGUCAACCUCAUGAUUGUUUUAAUAAUAAAUUGUUAGACAUGA
Long non-coding RNA from Solea solea (common sole), 401 nucleotides. RefSeq lists it as uncharacterized. The record is from RefSeq and is a predicted model, not a curated record. NCBI's taxonomy places the organism in Eukaryota, Metazoa, Chordata, Actinopteri, Pleuronectiformes, Soleidae. The transcript has 3 exons.